AAGACUAUAGACCUGCGGAGUACCUGCGGAAGGAUCAUUACCUAGAGUUUGUAGACUUCGGUCUGCUACCUCUUACCCAUGUCUUUUGAGUACCUUCGUUUCCUCGGCGGGUCCGCCCGCCGAUUGGACAACAUUCAAACCCUUUGCAGUUGCAAUCAGCGUCUGAAAAAACAUAAUAGUUACAACUUUCAGCAAUGGAUCUCU
This 204-nucleotide unclassified non-coding RNA is filed under the name soil metagenome. RNAcentral's name for it is "partial contains 5.8S ribosomal RNA, internal transcribed spacer 2, and large subunit ribosomal RNA". The record is from RNAcentral.